GUCUGCUCUACUGACUGAAUUGGUAGAGCGCUCCACUGGAAAUGGAGAGGUCCCGGGUUCGAUACCCGAACCAGACG
RNAcentral lists this transfer RNA (77 nucleotides) under Ixodes scapularis (black-legged tick). Its description in RNAcentral is "tRNA-Ser". Lineage: Eukaryota; Metazoa; Arthropoda; Arachnida; Ixodida; Ixodidae. The record is from RNAcentral.